Molecule: long non-coding RNA, 1601 nt
Filed under: Helianthus annuus (common sunflower)
Lineage: Eukaryota; Viridiplantae; Streptophyta; Magnoliopsida; Asterales; Asteraceae
Description: hypothetical non coding rna
Source: RNAcentral
GACUUUCCUCCAUUUUAGAAUUUUGGAGAUCCAAGUUUAGAGAGAGAAAGUCUAGAGAGAGAGAAAGUGGUUGUAAACGUGGUUUUUGUACCAUACACGUCGUAUCUUUCAAUAAAAUCACGUUAGUAGUACGUUAUUGUGUGUUCGGUCACGCACGUUCACGGAUUCCGCACGUGAAACGUUCGUUACGCAAUCGAACGGCAUCAAAACCGGUCCUACAAUUAGUAUCAGAGCUAGGAGCUCGAUUGCUUGAUCAAACACAUCGUUUCCGUACCAGAUUUCAGCCGAUUCAGAUCCGAUUUCAUCUAUUUCUUCAUCUUCUACCUAUUUUUCACAUUUUUUACUGUUUUUCGUCAAAUCGAACAGGUUUUCACGGUCCGUUUUAGCUGAAUUUUGGAUAUGUUGUGCGUAUAUACCUGAUCUACAACCCUACCAAGUUUCAGAUCGAAACUCCAAGCCGUUUAGGAGAAAUCGAGGUUUUUCGGGUCGAAUUCGCGUCAUACGAUCAGACAGGUUCGCUUUUACGAACCAAACAGGUUCGCUCAUUUGGUUUAAAAGCAGGUUCGCUCAUAAAGAACUUGAGGUUCGCUCAUAGGGUAAAAGAAAUUCAGGUCCGCUUAUAAGUUUGUGUGUUGGUUCGCUUAUAGAUCACCAAUUAGAUCCGCUUAUGUGACACACUAGGUUCGCUCCAAAUGACAUAAAGGGUCCGCUCAAAAGGUUUGAUUUUGGUUCGCUUUUGUGUCAUCGUUGUCAGCGGAACAGGUAAAUUGCAGGUGAGUUGAUAAAACAUUGUCGGCAUUAAUUGACUGCAUGUGACUAGAUAAGUUCAAAACAAUCGGCCCAAUCACCUUUAAAAAGUUUACAUCUAUUGUCGGCCACAAUCAAUCCAUGUGUUUGCUUGAAAGUCUUUGUUAUUGGCCCAUACAUUGACUGCCAGCUCAUUAUCAUUUUGUUUGACAUAAAGUGGCCCAAUCAUGUUGUGUUUUAGUUGAUAUUGGCAGCUCAUGAUUGGAUGAGAUUAAGGCCCAAUCACUGUUAUGAUUAACCGAUUAAUGUAAAAAAAUUGCAAGUUGGUAUUUUGUUUCAACGUAGUUUCAGAUCUGAAAAUGAUAGACAAGGGGUUGUUGGUUGGGCUGGAUAAAGAUUAUGUUUGUUUGAUUCGAAACUAUCGGUGUUGUUUGGCGAAAUAAGAACAGAUUUUUUUAAGCUGAAUCGGAAGUUGGUUGUUGUUGUUUGAUCGGAUUGAAAUUUAGCUGAAUCUGAGUUGUUUUUUCGGACAAAGAAUCGUUUCAAUUUUUGCCGAUAUCAGAUGCGAAUUUGCUAUAUUAAAGAAUCAGAAAUUAGAUUUGUUUGCUGAAUCGCGUUUACAAUUGAUAUUAAAGUUCUUGUUUGUGUUUUGAGAAAGUAAAAUCUGAAUUGUUGUUGAUAUAAGGCUGCUGUAGUGUUAGUUGUGUUUGAUCGACGUAGGGUGCAGCGACUUAUGCUAGUUGUUGAAGGAAUCGAAAAAGAGAAAUUGUGGCUCUUGUUAGUGGUAUUUCUUAUGAACACUUGAAGAACUUGCAACAAGGUUUUGAGCAAAUGUGUUAAAAGGUAAUCGUUUG